AUCCCAUGAUGUGGACAUCUUCUUAAUAGUUCUUUAAACCUCUCCUAGACUUCGUACAAGGACUCACCAUCAAAUUGUGUGAAUGAGGUGAUAUCAUUCUUAUCUUU
This is a small nucleolar RNA of Theobroma cacao (cacao), 107 nucleotides long. It matches the Rfam family "Plant small nucleolar RNA R71". From Rfam's summary of the family: R71 is a member of the C/D box family of snoRNAs containing the C (UGAUGA) and D (CUGA) box motifs. Multiple nearly identical copies of this snoRNA have been identified in Arabidopsis, and it is thought to function as a 2'-O-ribose methylation guide for 18S ribosomal RNA. The record is from Rfam. Lineage: Eukaryota; Viridiplantae; Streptophyta; Magnoliopsida; Malvales; Malvaceae.